UCGGCACGGAGUAUUCUACAAGGUGAAAUGUUAGUAGAAGGUUCCAUUGCAUGUGUAUAUUUAGCUUUUUUGGGUGAUUUUUGUGUUAAAACACCCAAAUCAAAAGAGGGGCUAUCACUUAAUGUAGAUUUUGUAGGUAUGUUUUUCAUUGUUUAUCUUGAACUUGAAUCGGAUUGAACUUCAAUUUGCAAGAAUGAUAUCUUUGAGAUUUUGUGAGAAAAACUGGAGAAACCUUCGUUUGGUUCAGAAG
RNAcentral lists this long non-coding RNA (250 nucleotides) under Nicotiana benthamiana. Its description in RNAcentral is "long non-coding RNA (NBEN_LNC003547)". Lineage: Eukaryota; Viridiplantae; Streptophyta; Magnoliopsida; Solanales; Solanaceae. The record is from RNAcentral.